RNAcentral lists this ribosomal RNA (440 nucleotides) under uncultured bacterium. Its description in RNAcentral is "partial 16S ribosomal RNA". It matches the Rfam family "Bacterial small subunit ribosomal RNA", at positions 338 to 795 of the family's 1533-position model. The record is from RNAcentral.
CCUACGGGAGGCAGCAGUAGGGAAUAUUGCUCAAUGGGGGAAACCCUGAAGCAGCAACGCCGCGUGGAGGAUGAAGGUUUUCGGAUUGUAAACUCCUUUUGUUAGAGAAGAUAAUGACGGUAUCUAACGAAUAAGCACCGGCUAACUCCGUGCCAGCAGCCGCGGUAAUACGGAGGGUGCAAGCGUUACUCGGAAUCACUGGGCGGAAAGAGCGCGUAGGCGGGAUAGCAAGUCAGAUGUGAAAUCCUAUGGCUUAACCAUAGAACUGCAUUGGAAACUGGUAUUCUAGAGUAUGGGAGAGGGAGGUGGAAUUCUUGGUGUAGGGGUAAAAUCCGUAGAGAUCAAGAGGAAUACUCAUUGCGAAGGCGACCUGCUAGAACAUAACUGACGCUGAUGCGCGAAAGCGUGGGGAGCAAACAGGAUUAGAUACCCCUGUAGUC